RNAcentral lists this transfer RNA (58 nucleotides) under Ictidomys tridecemlineatus (thirteen-lined ground squirrel). RNAcentral describes it as "Spermophilus tridecemlineatus (thirteen-lined ground squirrel) tRNA". It matches the Rfam family "tRNA", at positions 8 to 63 of the family's 71-position model. From Rfam's summary of the family: Transfer RNA (tRNA) molecules are approximately 80 nucleotides in length. Their secondary structure includes four short double-helical elements and three loops (D, anti-codon, and T loops). The record is from Rfam by way of RNAcentral. Lineage: Eukaryota; Metazoa; Chordata; Mammalia; Rodentia; Sciuridae. RNAcentral also lists the same sequence under 1 other name.
UAACUCAGUUGGUAGAGUGUUUGCCUAGCAUGCACAAGGCCCUGGGUUUAAUCCCCAG